RNAcentral lists this ribosomal RNA (549 nucleotides) under uncultured bacterium. Its description in RNAcentral is "bacterial SSU rRNA". It matches the Rfam family "Bacterial small subunit ribosomal RNA", at positions 355 to 896 of the family's 1533-position model. The record is from RNAcentral.
UGGGGAAUAUUGGACAAUGGGGGAAACCCUGAUCCAGCGACGCCGCGUGUGUGAAGAGGGCCUGCGGGUUGUAAAGCACUUUUAGUGGGGACAAAAAGCUACGGACUAACACUCUGUGGUCUUGAUUUAACCCAAAGAAAAAGCACCGGCUAACUCUGUGCCAGCAGCCGCGGUAAUACAGAGGGUGCGAGCGUUAAUCGGAAUUACUGGGCGUAAAGCGCGCGUAGACGGUUUUGUAAGUCAGAUGUGAAAUCCCCGGGCUCAACCUGGGAACUGCAUUUGAAACUGCAUGGCUAGAGUAUCGAAGAGGGAAGUGGAAUUUUCGGUGUAGCGGUGAAAUGCGUAGAUAUCGGAAGGAACACCAGUGGCGAAAGCGACUUCCUGGUCGAAUACUGACGUUCAUGUGCGAAAGCGUGGGGAGCAAACAGGAUUAGAUACCCUGGUAGUCCACGCCAUAAACGAUGACAACUAGAUGUUGGGAGGGUCUGCCUCUCGGUGUCGCAGCUAACGCGUUAAGUUGUCCGCCUGGGGAGUACGGCCGCAAGGUUG